UUUUUUUUUUUUUUAUUAUUUUCCCACUGUACAGCAAGGGGGUCAGGUCAUCCUUAGAUGUAUACAUUGCAGUUACAGUUUUUUUCCCCCAAGUUAGAGGAUUUUGGAUACAAAUUCCUUUUUUUUGCCUGUCUUUUCUAGGGCUGAACCCAAGGCAUGUGGAGGUUCCCAGGCUAGGGGUCUAAUUGGAGCUGUAGCCACCAGCCUACACUACACCACAGCCACAGCAAUGCCAGAUCCAAGCUGCAUCUGCAACCUACACCACAGCUCACGAUCUGGCGUUGCUGUGGCUCUGGUGUAGGCCGGCAGCUGUAGCUCUGAUUUGACCCCUACCUGGGAAUAUCCAUAUGCUGUGGGUGCAGCCCUGAAAAAGAUUUUAAGACAAACAAACAAACUAGGUUUAGGCUAGAUAUUGAAUGUAUUUUGGUUUAAUUAAUGUGGUGUUUCUGAGUUUAUUGUGUGCAGGUCAAGGAGAUCUGUCACAAAAUCUUUUGCUUCCUAGAAUGUUACCUUUCUUCCUUAAAGUGAGAUAAAGCAGUUGAGCCAAUUGUGACAAAGUUUACUGCUCCUCUCUGAGUUUCACAAGUAACUGAGCCAAGAAAAAAGUCCUUCCUUCUAAUAAUCUGGGGAGAGGAGGCUCUCUUCUGACAGACAGCAGUGGGUGGGGGGUGGCACUGUAAAUUGUCUUCACUCUCCAGGGCUGCCACGGUUUGACAUUUCACUUCCAUCCUCUUUGGAUGAUGUCCUGAGACCUGUCAUCUUUACCCUCCCUGAACAAGAACCUUGGCAGGAGGCCUAGGGCAACAUAAUCAUUAAUUCUGUAUCUGGCACUAGCCACAUCCUGCCAAGGGGAGAAUGGCCUGACCAGAUGAGUAUCUUGUAUUGGUUCAGAGUGGAAGAAUGACGGGAGAGGUGGAGGGUGCCACUUCCUUCUUCAGUGCCAUCUUCUAUGACAGCAUUGGUAGAAUGAAACCAGUGGCCUGGUGGUGACUAACAUUCUCUUUGUGAACAAUUAAGAGCUAGCUGUUAGGGAGUUCCUGUCAUGAUGCAUCAGAAACAAAUCCAACUAGGAACCAUGAGGUUGCGGGUUCGAUCUCUCUGGCUUCCCUCAGUGGGUUAAGGAUCUGUCAUUGCCUUGAGCUGUGGUGUAGGUCACAGAUGCAGCUUGGAUCUGGCAUUGCUGUGGCUGUGGCUGUGGCCAGCAGCAACAGCUCUGAUUAGAGCCCUAGCCUGGGAACCUCCAUAUGCCUUGAGGUGGCCCUAAAAGGACCAAAAAAAACCAAAAAAACAAAAAAAAAACCAAAAACCAAAAAAAAAACAAAAAAAAAAUCUAGCUGUUAUUGUGAGAAAAACAAUGUAUAUAUAUAUUUAUGUCUGUGUGUGACUGGGUCACUUUGCUGUAUAGCAGAAAACUGACAGAACACUGUAAACCAAAUAUAAUGGAAAAAAUAAAAAUCACUAAAAAAACAAAAAACAAAAAACCACCUAGCUAUUGGUGUUUGCUACACAGUAAUUACCAGCUGGUCCAGGUUCUGCAAAGGUCCAAGAUGUAUUUUGGGAAUCAUUAUUGUCUUUUAUUUUUUUAAUUUUUAAAAUCUUUAUUUUUUUUUUGCUUUUAAGGGCCGCAUCUGCGGCUUAGGGAGGUUCCCAGACUAGGGGUCAAAUCGAAGCUGCAGCUGCCGGCCUACACCACAGCCACAGUGACACAGGAUCUGAGCUGCAUCUGCGACCUACACCACAGCUCAGGGCAACGCCGGAUCCUUACCCACUGAGCGAGGCCGGGGAUGGAACCUGCAAACUCAUGGUUCCUAGUUGGAUUUGUUUCUGCUGAGCCAUGAUGGGAACACAUUAUUGUCUUUUA
RNAcentral lists this long non-coding RNA (1861 nucleotides) under Sus scrofa (pig). Its description in RNAcentral is "lncRNA (ENSSSCG00025035140.1)". The record is from RNAcentral. Lineage: Eukaryota; Metazoa; Chordata; Mammalia; Artiodactyla; Suidae.